GGUCUGUGAUGAAUAGUAAAAGGUCUGAUUAUCCUAAGACUUGCACUUCCAUGACCUUUUCUCCCAGCAGUUUCUCGCCUGUCACAGCACAGUGAUGAUGUGGCUGGCAGAGUGUUUGCUGACAGUUUGUGAUGUGCUCAGUUCAUGUUAACCUGAAGCAUCGGAGACAUGACUGGAAUUAGCAUCCAACAGUCUUACUUGAAGGAGUUUGGGGUCUUGGAUUGUCUUAAAUGGACAUGUGAUCUGACUUUUCUGCUGAGACC
RNAcentral lists this small nucleolar RNA (263 nucleotides) under Buceros rhinoceros silvestris. RNAcentral's name for it is "Small Cajal body specific RNA 6". It matches the Rfam family "Small Cajal body specific RNA 6". From Rfam's summary of the family: U88 is small Cajal body specific RNA (scaRNA). scaRNAs are a novel class of small nuclear RNAs which localise to the Cajal bodies. The record is from Rfam by way of RNAcentral. Lineage: Eukaryota; Metazoa; Chordata; Aves; Bucerotiformes; Bucerotidae.